UACGUAGGGUGCAAGCGUUGUCCGGAAUUAUUGGGCGUAAAGAGCUCGUAGGCGGUUUGUCACGUCGGAUGUGAAAAUCCGGGGCUUAACCCCGGACCUGCAUUCGAUACGGGCUGGCUAGAGUUCGGCAGGGGAGACUGGAAUUCCUGGUGUAGCGGUGAAAUGCGCAGAUAUCAGGAGGAACACCGGUGGCGAAGGCGGGUCUCUGGGCCGAUACUGACGCUGAGGAGCGAAAGCGUGGGGAGCGAACAGG
This 253-nucleotide ribosomal RNA is filed under the name uncultured bacterium. Its description in RNAcentral is "partial 16S ribosomal RNA". It matches the Rfam family "Bacterial small subunit ribosomal RNA", at positions 524 to 776 of the family's 1533-position model. The record is from RNAcentral.